UAGACAACCCACCCAACUCACACCCUGACCAUACUAAAACAAAGACAUAACAAAAGAACUAAGGUCAGAACGUGACAAUUCCUCUGCAAUAUUUGAGGGACCUGACUGGCAAAAAUGCCUUUCUAGCAACUCUCAAGGUGAGUUACACUUACACCAACAAAGACACGUUUGUUUAUGGAAAUAUGUAUGACUUGAGUAAGACAUUUGAUUUUUGCAUGUUAUGUAAUGUGUCCUGUAUUUACUGUUUGUCUUUUGUGUGACAACACGUAUUGCGUAUACAAGCAGGUGGGCCGCAUGAUUGCUGUCUGUCUGGUACAUGGGGGAGUAUAGCCAAAAUGUAUUUCAGAGAGGCUAUACCGGCAAGUGUGCGGCCUACAACCUCCUGUGCCAGAACUGAAAGAAAUGGCGGAAAAUGACUUCAGAGAGAAGUUCGAGAAGGGUUUGCACCCAGAGGCCUGAGUCUGCUAACCAGUUUGUGGGUCAGGAUGGUGUUGAAAGCAGAUCUAUAAAAUAUGACACACUGCAGUCAAAAAUGCCAACCAGCGGCUCUCCAUCCUACGGUGGCUGAAGACGUUUUGCCUGACAUCAAACAUUAACAAGUGUCGGAUUGAAGUGUCUGAAAAAAUGUAAACAGAACCAUAUAAGCAGAUUCCUUUUUUUGUCUCCUUUACUGGCACAGUGGUUUUGAAAUAAUUUCUAAUUGUAGUCACUUUCAAUUGAUUCAUUGACUCAAAGAACCAUAGAUUGUUUGUAGUUCAUAACAUUUCAACGUUGCUUGACUAGUAAAUUGGGAUACAUGUUUUAAUAAAAUGUUAUAUUUUAUUGGGCUUAAUGUUGAAUACCUUGUCGUGUUGUGCAUGCCAACCAGGUGAGAAUUAUCAGAAUUAACUGUGAUACUUGAUGAAUCAGGUCUUCUCUGCUGUUUCAUCAGCCUCCCCCUUGCCCACUCCAAGCUCCUCAUCAUAGUUCCCUUCUGCAAGACACAAUUGUGUGAAAAUAAAGCAGAAGGAAUCGGAACACUAUUCCUUUGAAGCAGUACUAUAUAGUACUGGGUAAUGCCUGAAGUUAUUUUACCCUAAUAGGCUUUGAUGGAAUGUAAAUAUUCCAAAAAUGAAAUGAUCGUGCACAUUAGUCUACCCUGUUCGAAAGCUGAUAUGUU
Oncorhynchus mykiss (rainbow trout) is the source of this 1159-nucleotide non-coding RNA. NCBI's taxonomy places the organism in Eukaryota, Metazoa, Chordata, Actinopteri, Salmoniformes, Salmonidae. The record is from RefSeq and is a predicted model, not a curated record.